GACCCACCUGAUUCCAUCCCGAACUCAGAAGUGAAACGAAACAGCGUCGAUGGUAGUGUGGGGUCUCCCCAUGUGAGAGUAGAACAUCGCCAGGC
RNAcentral lists this ribosomal RNA (95 nucleotides) under Vibrio cholerae. Lineage: Bacteria; Pseudomonadati; Pseudomonadota; Gammaproteobacteria; Vibrionales; Vibrionaceae. The record is from RNAcentral.